UACGUAGGGGGCAAGCGUUGUCCGGAUUUAUUGGGCGUAAAGAGCGUGUAGGCGGCCUGGAAGGUCAGCUGUGAAAACUCGAGGCUCAACCUCGAGACGUCGGUUGAAACCGUAUGGCUAGAGUCCGGAAGAGGAGAGUGGAAUUCCCGGUGUAGCGGUGAAAUGCGCAGAUAUCGGGAAGAACACCCGUGGCGAAGGCGGCUCUCUGGGACGGUACUGACGCUGAGACGCGAAAGCGUGGGGAGCGAACAGG
Molecule: ribosomal RNA, 253 nt
Filed under: uncultured bacterium
Lineage: Bacteria
Description: partial 16S ribosomal RNA
Rfam family: Bacterial small subunit ribosomal RNA
Source: RNAcentral